RNAcentral lists this ribosomal RNA (365 nucleotides) under uncultured eukaryote. Its description in RNAcentral is "partial 18S ribosomal RNA". It matches the Rfam family "Eukaryotic small subunit ribosomal RNA", at positions 592 to 976 of the family's 1831-position model. The record is from RNAcentral.
CAAUAGCGUAUAUUUAAGUUGUUGCAGUUAAAAAGCUCGUAGUCGGAUUUUGGCUGAGAACGAUCGGUCCGCCGUUAGGUGUGCACUGAUUGGUCUCAGCUUCCUGGUGAGGAGGUGUGCUUCACGGCCACUUAGUCACCGUGGUUACUUUGAAAAAAUUAGAGUGUUCAAAGCGGGCUUACGCUUGAAUAUAUUAGCAUGGAAUAACACCAUAGGACUCCUGUCCUAUUUCGUUGGUCACGGGACGGGAGUAAUGAUUAAGAGGAACAGUUGGGGGCAUUCGUAUUUCAUUGUCAGGGGUGAAAUUCUUGGAUUUAUGAAAGACGAACUUCUGCGAAAGCAUUUGCCAAGGAUGUUUUCAUUGA